UUUCAAGGAGGCAGCCCGGGGGAACGCGCCCUGGGGGUAG
RNAcentral lists this transfer RNA (40 nucleotides) under Ulmus lamellosa. RNAcentral's name for it is "partial tRNA-Glu". The record is from RNAcentral. Lineage: Eukaryota; Viridiplantae; Streptophyta; Magnoliopsida; Rosales; Ulmaceae.